RNAcentral lists this ribosomal RNA (253 nucleotides) under uncultured bacterium. Its description in RNAcentral is "partial 16S ribosomal RNA". It matches the Rfam family "Bacterial small subunit ribosomal RNA", at positions 524 to 776 of the family's 1533-position model. The record is from RNAcentral.
UACGUAGGGGGCAAGCGUUGUCCGGAUUUAUUGGGCGUAAAGAGCUCGUAGGCGGCUUGUCACGUCGGAUGUGAAAGCCCGGGGCUUAACCCCGGGUCUGCAUUCGAUACGGGCAGGCUAGAGUGUGGUAGGGGAGAUCGGAAUUCCUGGUGUAGCGGUGAAAUGCGCAGAUAUCAGGAGGAACACCGGUGGCGAAGGCGGAUCUCUGGGCCAUUACUGACGCUGAGGUGCGAAAGCGUGGGGAGCAAACAGG